AAGACAAAGCCCUUUCCGAGAACUUCAAAUAAUCAACAACUGUCUGCCAUAACACUGUGAUAACGGGGGAAAUAUUAAACAUCAUGUUCCACGAAACAUGAUCAGAAUAUCAAAUGAGUCUCUGACAAAAAGGUGGAAAUAGACAAAAGAAAGUGGAAUAUAAAUGAGAUAAAUCAGAAAUCAGUCUCAUACCAUUAUUUUCUUGCUAUUUUCUUAAAGCAGUGGUUCUUAACCUGGGGUACGAAACCUUAAACCUGGGAGUACCAGACAUGAUAGCCAGUGCAAGGGUACUGCAUAUUUACCAUGAGAAAGUAAAACAUAUAUUUUCCUCAAUUACUUUUUAAAGUUUGUGCUGUAAACAAUUUUCUCACGUUUUCUAUGGUUUCAUAUAAUCUUGAUAUCUCGUACGGUUCGUGUUUAUUUUUAGUGUUGGUCCUGGCUCUGAUCCUUGGCUUCAGAAGUCAGUCACUUGUGUUCUCGGUUCUCACUGAGAGUGAGAGGAGCCAACGAGUACACCUCACGUAUCGGUGUGAUCAAGCUCUGGUAACUAUGUAUAAGAAACGUAAGUGGAACGACGUCUACGUUCGUUAUGGUUUUACCUGUAUGACUGAGGCAGAUGGAACUCGACGACCACACUGCAUACUCUGCAGCACAGUAUUUACAAAUGCAAAUCUCAGACCAUCAAGACUCAAUGAGCACUUCAACAAUCGGCAUGGAGGCACAGAUGCAGGACAGGACUUAAACAGCUUGAAGACCAAGCGGGAACGAUUUGGUCGUAGUGGUACCAUGUCAAAUCUAGGUUUUGUGCCAGUUGAGAAACCUUUGUUGCAAGCAUCUUAUGAAGUUCCCCUUUUGUGUGCAAAGAAGAAAAAAAAUCCCACUAUUGCAGAGGAGCUUGUUAAACCUUGUGCAUUAGAAAUGGCAUAAAUAGUGUUAGGAACAGAAGCUGAAAAGAAGCUUUUAAACAGGUAUCUCUAUCAAAUGACAUUAUCCAUUCAAGGAUUAAUGAUAUGAGUCGAGAUAUCUUGCAGUAGGUGGUAACAGACCUGCAGCUAGUCCUGUCAAAGUGAGUAUUCAGCUGGAUGAGUCAACUGACGGUAGUUUUUGUAGUCAGUUGAUGGCAUUUGUUCGCUAUGAAAAAGAGAAAGAAGUGGUGGAAGAAUUCUUAUUUUGUAAUCCUCUGAAAACUACUGCAAAAGCAAUCGAUGUGUUCAAUCUUGUGAAAGAGUUCUUCUUGGAACAUGGAAUGACUCUCAACAUGUGUGGGUCAAUUUGCACUGAUGAAGCCCCUGUCACCCCUGUCGUGCUGGGAAAUAAAUCAGGCUUUGCUACGCUGGUGAAAGAAGAGGUUCCCCAUGUAACUGUCACUCACUGAGUGUUUUAUAUUUGAUUCCUUAAAGACUUAAGGGAAUCAAAUAUAGAAUGACUGAUGGAAAGACAAGAGCAUGGGAAGUGUAUUACUAACAAUUAUAACAAAAGGAAAUAUCGCAAGCAUACCAGAAUAAAACGUUACUACAUGCCAGCGCGUUUGUUGCCAAGCUUUAAGCCUCCCAGCCCGGGAAUUUCAGUCUUUGUAUCUACAUCAGCAAAGCUUUCACUCCUGUUAUGAUGAAAAAGAUUUAGAGACUUUGAUGUGUAAAGACGUGUUGAGAGCGAUGCCAUGAGGCGGGAAGCGAAAACAAUCUCUCUCUCUCUCUCUCUCUCUCUCUCUCUCUCUCUCUCUCUCUCUCUCUCUCUCUCUCUUAAUAAAUAAACAGAAGUCAAAAGAAUCAUCAAAACAGGUAAUAAAAUACAUCUUGUGUCGAUAGAAAAAAAAAGUAUAAAAAAAAAUUUACCUGAUGCUUGAACGUGAUCCAAUCCCGGAUGUCAUUGUGUGUGUGUGUGUGUGUGUGUGUGUGUGUGUGUGUGUGUGUGUGUGUGUGUGUGUGAGAUUUACAUAGAUUUACAUAGAAAA
Molecule: long non-coding RNA, 1954 nt
Organism: Eriocheir sinensis (Chinese mitten crab)
Lineage: Eukaryota; Metazoa; Arthropoda; Malacostraca; Decapoda; Varunidae
Exons: 2
Source: RefSeq, a predicted model, not a curated record